CACCAAUCUCUCAAUCUAACCUCAAAAAAGCCCUACCCUUUCACUACCCACCCCACCCAGUAAGAACUUCAUUCUCGUUCUCCUCUCUUGGUAGCAAUCUAAUGAAAGCUAGAAAUCAAUUUCAUAAGAGCUUCAUUCAUAUAGCGCGUUAUCCUCUCCUUUUUCUCGCGAAGUCAAUUGUGUGAGGGCGCAAACCACUUUUUUGGAAUCCUCACCGCCGUGGUGCUCCCCCUCCGUCAAUUCCAGUAGUCUCGUCAUCCCCAUUGUUGUAUCCAUCACUGAGCCACUUCCCCGCCCUUCCUCCAUGAUUACGCGCACCACUUCAUUAGUCAAGAAUCAGAUUUGGGAUUUGUUUUCUACCUCGCACGAACAGAAAAGGAGCAGAAACAAGAAACACACCUCCGCGCUAGAAUCGUUGCCGACGUUCCCCUCUACCCGUCAGUACCGGUUGCAUUGUGCUUCCCUUGCCAGUGGGUCCAUCGCCGAUUUGCUCCCUCCUUCCUCUGGUUCUAUUCUUAGGUCUGCUUAGCUUCUUGGUUCAGAUUACUGAACACAGGACAAAAGGGGGUGAAGUAAAGGAAAGGCCUGCAAGACGCAUCGAUACCGCUGUGAAGAGUUGUCGCCGCAACGCGCUGCACCUCCAUUCUGGGUUUUUCCUAUCUGCAGAAUAUUGCCGAAGCAGGAGAGAAGAAAAUAGGAAUGCAAUCAAGUGGUACUAAAGAAGAUAACAUAUUCUCCCUUACAAAGCAACUUUCUCUAAAUUCCUUUGGCAAAAACAAGUCUUCAAAUAGCUAGAUUAUUACAAUAACAAAAGCUAGUUUCUUAUUUAUUUCUUCAUUUUUGGUGUCAUAUUCCCUUGUUCAAUGUUCACGAGUAUCUCUGUGAUUUUGUCUAAUUAAAUUGUGUUAUACCUAUGAUCAUAUUAACAUUAUUAUGUGCAUGAUUUGCCUCCUUUUGCGAUUGGCCUUAGCACUUU
This is a non-coding RNA of Arachis ipaensis, 976 nucleotides long. The record is from RefSeq and is a predicted model, not a curated record. NCBI's taxonomy places the organism in Eukaryota, Viridiplantae, Streptophyta, Magnoliopsida, Fabales, Fabaceae.